This is an RNA transcript of Diospyros lotus (date-plum), 1252 nucleotides long. It is a transcript of the gene named serine hydroxymethyltransferase 6-like, with no coding region annotated. The transcript has 3 exons. The record is from RefSeq and is a predicted model, not a curated record. Lineage: Eukaryota; Viridiplantae; Streptophyta; Magnoliopsida; Ericales; Ebenaceae.
AACACCCUCUAAAGCAUAUUUAUGCGGGAUGAGUUUUGGAGCUUAGGGUUUGCAGAACCAAUGGAAGCUUCGGCAACUACUACAGGGUCGCCCUCAAGACGAUCCAUUCUCCGAUACUUCUACUGCGACUGCCUCAGGCGCUCUUGCCGCUGUUUCUGUUGCUGCUAUUUCUGAUCUCCUGCUUCCGAUUAAAUCAGGUAUAGGCCUUGGUUUCGUACGGGUUUGAUCCACUCCCAGUUCAUUCUCUCUCACAGGGACUUCCGGCGGCUGUUGAUGGAACAGAAUUCGAAGCAUCACCAGGACGCCCGCGAGAGCGGUGUUGAGGAGUUUGGAAUUCUCGGGAAGUCUACGUGCGUGAACAGGCGUAGCGACGGCGAGUACUCGUCAGCGGCUUCUUCACCCUCGGAACGGGUUGUGGUCGAGCCGAAGUGCCUCGAUGCCCAGUGGAGCGCGAUUAGGGCUUGGGGGAAUCAACCACUUUGUGUGACGGACACUGAUGCUUGCGGGAUCAUGGGAAAGGAGAAGCAGAGGCAAUUCAAAGUGAUUGAAUUGAUGAUUUUGCUAUAUAGCCUUGAAACAAGUGCUACAACUGAGUACAAGCCUAUAUGCAACAGAUGAAGAAAAAUUCACAGGCUCUAGAAUCUGCUUUAUAUUGCAGACUAGUAACAGGAGGCACUGACAACCAUUAUGGCCUAUAGGCAACAGAUGAUGACAAAUUCUCAGGCUCUAGAAUCUGCCUUAUAUUGCAGACUGGUAACAGGAGGCACUGACAACCAUUUGUUACUUUGGGAUUGGUGGAAUCUUGGACUAACAGCUUUUCAUUGUGAUGCCCAUUAGGUACUCUUGCAGUACCAUUAAAAGGUGGUUGAGAGGCAGCUGCACAGGUUACAAGUACAGUCCAGUUGGAACAUGGGAAGUUGCAGGAAGCUUUCCUGAAGGGUCUUCAGAAUAAAAAAGUUAUUGUUGGACUUCGGAAAAGAGUGAGGAUUUUGUGAGCCAAUUAGCUAUGCGGGGGGUUUGUUGUGUAAAAAAUUUGGACAUGUAAUGUAAUGCAUGUGGUGUCUUCAUGCUCCUCGGGUCUGACAUCUUCUGCCAACCACAAGUGCUGGCAAAUUUUGGUUUCUUUUAUUUGCACUUCAUUUGGCUUUGGUAGGAUGUGUGCAAUACUCAAACUACACUUGCAUCCAAGUGGUGAGAAUUUGCAAGCAUACUGUAAUGUCAUUAUGCACUGCUUGCUGCUGGUUCACUAAAA